AGUAAUUUGACUGUGCAAAGGUAGCAUAAUCAUUAGUUUUUUAAUUAAAAGCUUGAAUGAAUGAUUGGACGAGAUAAAUUCUGUCUUUAUAUAAAAAUUAGAAUUUAAUUUUUAAGUUAAAAAGCUUAAAUGUGUUUAAAAGACGAGAAGACCCUAUAGAUCUUAAUUUAUUAUUUAUAAAAAAAAUUUAGAAUAAUUUUAGAAUUAUAAAGAGAUAAAUUUUAUUGGGGUAAUAUAAAGAUUAAAUUAAUUCUUUAGGAUAUUAACAUUAAUAAGUGAAUGUUUGAUCCAAUAUAUUGAAUAUAAGAUUAAGUUACCUUAGGGAUAACAGCGUAAUUUUUUUGGAGAGUUCAUAUCGAUAAAAAAGUUUGCGACCUCGAUGUUGGAUUAAAAUUAAUUUUAAAUGUAGGAGUUUAAAAAUUUAGUCUGUUCGACUAUUAAAAUUUU
RNAcentral lists this ribosomal RNA (447 nucleotides) under Allopachria balkei. Its description in RNAcentral is "partial 16S ribosomal RNA". The stretch from base 324 to 447 matches the Rfam family "Bacterial large subunit ribosomal RNA", at positions 2473 to 2597 of the family's 2925-position model. The record is from RNAcentral. Lineage: Eukaryota; Metazoa; Arthropoda; Insecta; Coleoptera; Dytiscidae.